UAUUUCCAUGUGGUGAAUAAUGACUACACUCAUUGGGAGAUGUAUGCAAUUGGAGGAAGUGCUUCUCCAACUAUCAAUAGUCAAGGCAAUAGAUUCCUUGCUCCUAAUGAUAUCUUCAACAAGGAGGUGACAAAACAUGAGGAUGCAGCAGAAAGUGAAUGGAAGAAUUGGAAUUGGAGAUCAGAAGGUGAUUUAAUGCUUAAUGGAGCAUUUUUCAUAAGAUCUGGUGCUGGAGCUUCUUCAAGUUAUGCAAAAGCAUCAAGUUUAAGUGCAAGGCCAUCUACUUUGGUUAAUUCUAUUACAAUGAAUGCUGGUGCACUUGGUUGCAAAAAGGGCAAAAGAUGUUGAUUAAUAUGUAUAUGAUUAUUAAUAAUUUUAAUUAGCACUAUAUGUUCUCUUUUUUAAGUGUAUUGUUGAGAAAUUGUGAAAUAUUAUAAUCUCUCAGUUAAUUAUAUACCAUGUAGUAUAUAUAAAAAAAAAUGGAUGAUGAAGGACAGGUUGAUGAGUUUGUAACUUGACUUCCCCUCUCAUUGUAAUGUUAUGUGAUAAUCAAGGAUCAAGUGUGAA
This 567-nucleotide unclassified non-coding RNA is filed under the name Hevea brasiliensis (rubber tree). Lineage: Eukaryota; Viridiplantae; Streptophyta; Magnoliopsida; Malpighiales; Euphorbiaceae. The record is from RNAcentral.